AAAGCAGUAAUGCGCUUCGGGAGGGGCCUGCGUCCCAUUAGCUAGUUGGUAGGGUAAAAGCCUACCAAGGCGACGAUGGGUAGCUGGAUCGAGAGGUUGACCAGCCACACUGGGACUGAGAUACGGCCCAGACUCCUACGGGAGGCAGCAGUAAGGAAUCUUCCACAAUGGACGAAAGUCUGAUGGAGCAACACCGCGUGCAGGAUGACGGCCUUAGGGUUGUAAACUGCUUUUAUAGAUGAAGAUUAUGACGGUAAUCUAUGAAUAAGGACCGGCUAACUACGUG
RNAcentral lists this ribosomal RNA (286 nucleotides) under uncultured bacterium. RNAcentral describes it as "partial 16S ribosomal RNA". It matches the Rfam family "Bacterial small subunit ribosomal RNA", at positions 202 to 507 of the family's 1533-position model. The record is from RNAcentral.